Oncorhynchus mykiss (rainbow trout) is the source of this 4863-nucleotide non-coding RNA. The record is from RefSeq and is a predicted model, not a curated record. NCBI's taxonomy places the organism in Eukaryota, Metazoa, Chordata, Actinopteri, Salmoniformes, Salmonidae.
UAUAGUUCAUACUGGUGGUCCUACCCAUUACCCACUUCACUCCAUUAACCCUAAACUUGCUGCUCACAUGGUGGUUUGUCUAAAUGUAUUUGACUUUAGGUUAGUUAAGGUUAAGAAGGUAAAGAUUGUGUUUUGCUGUGUUGGGAGCACUAGUGGCAAUGCUGCCUCACCCAGAUCACACAUUACCCUAUAUACAUAUAUAUUGUAGCCAGCUUAACCCAACACUUACCACCUUCUGAUCUCUUGGUGUAAUGAAUAAGGUUGCUAGUCGCUGGACCGGGGUUCGAGGCCCAGUUGGAGCUACCCCCAAGUUUGUUACAUUGGUAUCAGAAGUGGGAUAGUGCCUGUGAAGCCAUCAAAGAUGUGUGUACACGUGAGAGACUGUGGGAGAAAUUAGGUACAUAUAUGGAUAAAUAUACUGUCCUAUAUAAAAGAGGGAUGCAUUUGCCAUUCUGGUAAGGUACAUUGUCUAUUGUAUAGGACAGGAAGCCAGAGUGGGGCCAUGGGAGAGGGCAACACCUAGGGCAGCUGGACAUACAAAGGUCAGAGGUUGUCUAAGGAGGGGGUCAGCCAAAGGACCAAUUGAUGGAUCACAGACAUCAAUCACAACACAGGAGACAAGUCUGUUUGAUCUUAGACAACCAUAUGAAGAGAAGGCGACCAGAACAGCUAGGCACCCUAAAGCUAAAGGAGAUGAAAGACACCAAAAGGGACACAUGGAGUUAAUUACAGGGUAUGAACACAGGCCACAGGAAAGGGGAAUGUAUAGUAUUUUUAGUAUAGCUGAGCAUGCUAAAAACAGAAGAGACACAGUCUGCUGACCCUAGAUAACACACAAACAGGAGAACGCAUUAAGCUGAGUGAAGGGUCAAAGCAAGGGUCUUGUCACCAUUAGGAUCUAAUGGAAAGCAGAUGGGGGCGUUAUUGGGCUGAACAAGCAGGAAGCACGGAUUGGGAUGUAACUUAAUUUGCAUAUGGGAGGGACUUAUAUGGUAGGUGUAUAACUCAGAGCGAGGGCUCUGAAAAAGUGUGUGUGUUCCGCGGACCGCUCCGGCUUAUGAUACUGUUGUAUUAAAAGUCUAUAUUGAUUUUCACAAAGUUCUUGGUUGUGUCAUAUUUGAACCGAUUUGCCACUACAGACUUGGCGAGCUUGCCAGGAGAAUUAGGGACUGAAUAACGUUCUUGGCUGGCAGCGGGAUCUUUGGACGAUCUGGGCAAACAAGGGUGGCCACCCAGCUAAGGUAAGACAACAGUGAAAUGUUUGUGUAGAUCGCUUCAGAGAUCCUGCCUCAGCAAGAGGAGCGUCAAGUAGGUCUCUCUCUCUCAAAUUUCCUAAAAACUAUAGAAACGAAAUAACUUUUUGAAAUUCAAUGAAUUUGCAUGCAUGUGUGUAAGCUUGGAAAUUGUAUAAUGAAUGUGCAUGCGUGUCUAGUGAGUAAGUAGGUGGGGGCUGUGAACUUCGCUGGUGUCGGGUGUGUUAUUCGGCAUGUUGGAGCUGGGUUUGGGCGCAGGGCUACAGCUACCUGCUUAUAAGGUUUGAAUAAAAUAAGUAGUUAUAGAAGUCCUGCGAUACCGCUUCAAAAUAUUUACCAGAAGGUCAAAAUUUCUCUGGUCAAAAUGUCAUUGGAAACUGUAGUACUGAGGAAAGCAGUUAGAGAUAUUUUGGCCACUAAAAAUCUUAGUAUCUGGUUAAGGCUAUAACUGGAGUUCCGGAUAAGUGAGGCCAGCUCAUGUGUAUUCUUGGCCUAUAUGCGAUAGUGGGUUUCCUUUGGAAGGGUUUUUCAGUUCAGUUUCAGAUUGGGUAUGCAGAAGGAUGGAAGUGUUUUUGGCCUAUAGGAGAUAGUGGAUUUCCCUUGGGAGGGUUUUUCAGUUCAGUUUCAGAUUGGGUAUGCAGAAGGAUGGAAGUGUUUUUGAAAAUGUAUUUAAGUUGUUUCUAAAGAAAAGGGAGUGAAAACAUUUUAAUGGUGUCAAAUGCCCUGAACCCUAAGAAUUUCCAUUGAAGACUGAUCAACUUCACUAGAACAAGUGGGAUUUAAUUAUAAAAUGAUUGAGAAACACCAGUUUCUAUUCAAAGUGUAGAAUCACAGAAGAUGAAGAGUUGUAAUCUUGAAUUGACUAGUUAUUCAAAUAGGUUUAUUUUUAUUUAACAUGGGGUUAUAGGAGAACAUAUCAGUUCCCUGGGGUUAUGGUCUUUGGGUAAAUACAAAAUGUGCUUUGUUCAUUCUACAUAUAAAAUGGAAAUAUAUGUAAACAAGGGAUAACAGUUACUCCAAAUAGGUUAUUGGAGUGGGGGUUUAUGCAAGGGUUAUGAUGAUAACUACAUAAUCUGUAACUCAUCUGAGAGAUCGCCAGUAGAAUAAGGGAGUUAUCAUGGAAAUGUAAUGUCAGAAUGCAUUAAUGCUUGGGAGAGACUAUCAUAACACCAAGUGGGUGUGAAACUCAAACCCACCCUACUGGCUGAAUAGUGUGGGACAACUGUGUCUGAUGACCUGUGAACUGUAUCUGGAAUGAUAUGUACUGGGAGAAGAAAGACUAAAGGGGAUUGGGAUAAUGACCUUUUAUUACCAGGCCACUCAUGACAGAAAAACAGAGGUAAAAGGGUGCAUGGUAAAUAUAGAUAUUACUGGUACUAAAAGUUUUUAGUAUAAUGUUAAUUAUUAAAGGGAGAUGUAUUGAAUUGAGUAGGUCAAAUUUGAGUUAAAGUAAACACUAAGGACUGUUAUCCUGAAUAUUGGAUUGGAUAAUUUAUAAACAACAUUUAGUUAUGUUUUGAAUAUAGGACUGUUUAAAUUUACUAGGCCUAGGGAAGCUCUGGAAACCAAUCCUGAGACAGGUUGAUUGACAGAACUUGCAGAAUAUUAGAUUAAAGUUUUUUGUUUCUUUUAUUUUACAAUACCAUUGUAAUUGGAGUAAUACAUUGGAAUGACAUAAGUAAUUGAAUAAAAAGUAUAGUCUGUUGUGUGAUAACACCCAAGGAUGAAGAAGACAUUACAAAUAGUGGUAAUUUAUUGCAAAUAUGCAGUUAUUAUAAUUUACUUUACCAUUUUUCUUGUUUGGUCAAUGUAUUUUUGUUUUGAGGAAAAUAAGAGUGUAUAUUUUUCCUGAGGAGGGACUGAUAUAAAUUGACUAAAAAUGAUUUGAGAAUGUUUAAGUAUGUAUCAAACUAUGGAAGGAAAUUAGGAGUAGUGACUUAUGUGUUAUGGGUUAGAAAAACUGUAACUACAUUGGGGGCUCAUACAUGAAGGUUAUGGUAGCGGAGGGGUGUUAUUUCUAGAAACAAUGUAUAUUAAUAGACAAGAUCAUUCACAGAAAAGGAAAGACAGUUGGUCUUGUAAAAAUAUAGGCACAAUUCUAAAAGUAAAUAGAACAUUACACAUACCUAGAUUAUGGUAAAAAUAAUAAGUAGUGGCAUUUUGAACACUAGAGCAAAAGUUUAAGAAGCUUAGGAUUUAGUUUUGUUAGGAUUGGAUAUUCUUUCAACUGGAAGACACUUGACUGAUUACAUGUUAUUCUUGCAGCAGUUACGGUAGGGACCAUAAUUUGGCUAUCAUUAUGAAUAUUUUUGUGGCAAGAGGCCAGGUAUUUAAGACAGAAUGUUUACAUAGGGCUGUUAUUUAAAAAUUAAGAUUUAGUGAUCUUGCUCUAAGAAGAAAGUCUGUUGUCAGGAAAUAACCCAUGAGUUAGUAUGUAUGUUCCCAGGAAAAGACGCCAGAUGGAAGGGCAUGGGCUGAAUUCUGGAAACUGAGUGUACAUCAAGAUACACCGGGCUGGGGAUAUACUUCUUACAGCACCUGCAGUGGUAAAGAUUGUCAUGUCUCUCUAUGAUGGGUGCAUAAGUUUCACAAGAAGUAAGGUCCAGCUGAAUAAUGGGUGAGCUUGAAAACACCAUGACAGAGGAUGUGAAACAAAACAAAAGAGAGAGACUAGAUUCUAAUGUAGACAUACUGGGUUGAGUUUGGGGGUUAUUUGUUUUAUUUGAUAAUGUAUCAUGUGAAUAAGGAUAUAUGUUAGGGUAGUUGUACUCUAAACCACAUGUUGAAGGCUCAAUGUGGAAGCCCAUUCCGUGUUGAAUUACUUUAAGAAGGAAUAAUGUUGAUUAAGGUUAUGCACAUGUUUAUCAGUUGAAACAGAGCAGAUGGGGAACUAAGUAAAAAAUGACAUGGUUUGGGAACACCUCUCAGAACCUGCGGCCGAAAGGGGAAGACUGGAUGAAAGCACGAGGAAGCCAAUUAGGGCCUCCAUUUUUGUGGAGUCCAGCAGAAAAGUAUCCUGGAGGCAUAGAGUCAGUCUUAUGUUUAGGAAACCAGAUGGAGAAGGGUUCUCCAGCUUCAGCUGGAAUGUCAGUUUGUGUGAUGAGUGAUGGAAGUAAGAGAAUGUAUGGUGUAAUCAUAGAACAGAGGCCAUAAGUCUCUUAAGUAUGAAUGCCCCACAGAAAGAAGGCAGAAAUCUGAACCAGGAUGAGAGGUUCCACAUCUGAUGAUCCAAGGGGACCAGAAGGAUCUCUCCCAGUGAUACCAGGAGAUCGAGUCUACGUUUGAGUGUUCCGAAGGAAGUGGGAUCAGCCGAGGAGGGAAGGACCCUACGAGGUGGCAACAGCCACAAACACGGCCGUCCAAGUGAAAGGAAGCAAGACGUGGUAUCAUCUAAACCACUGCACCCCGAGUCCCGACGGAGAGAAGGACACAACCAUACAGAGAUGAGGACACAGAGGAUGCUGAUUCACCAGAAGGGACCCCGGAGGGAGCAGGAGCAGCGGAAUCGAUCAAAGCGCCGGGGAGGAAUCAAGAAAAUGGCAGACCAGAUACAACGAGUGCAUCGGCUAACACACUCAGAAGAACCGACCAGGGAAAAAGAGCCUGAAAA